GACGAACGCUGGCGGCGUGCCUAAUACAUGCAAGUAGAACGCACAGUUUAUACCGUAGCUUGCUACACCAUAGACUGUGAGUUGCGAACGGGUGAGUAACGCGUAGGUAACCUGCCUGGUAGCGGGGGAUAACUAUUGGAAACGAUAGCUAAUACCGCAUAAUAUUGAUUAUUGCAUGAUAAUUGAUUGAAAGAUGCUAUUGCAUCACUACCAGAUGGACCUGCGUUGUAUUAGCUAGUAGGUGAGGUAACGGCUCACCUAGGCGACGAUACAUAGCCGACCUGAGAGGGUGAUCGGCCACACUGGGACUGAGACACGGCCCAGACUCCUACGGGAGGCAGCAGUAGGGAAUCUUCGGCAAUGGACGAAAGUCUGACCGAGCAACGCCGCGUGAGUGAAGAAGGUUUUCGGAUCGUAAAGCUCUGUUGUAAGAGAAGAACGGGUGUGAGAGUGGAAAGUUCACACUGUGACGGUAGCUGACCAGAAAGGGACGGCUAACUACGUG
This 505-nucleotide ribosomal RNA is filed under the name uncultured bacterium. Its description in RNAcentral is "partial 16S ribosomal RNA". It matches the Rfam family "Bacterial small subunit ribosomal RNA", at positions 28 to 507 of the family's 1533-position model. The record is from RNAcentral.